UAGAGAAAAUGAGGUUUCCACGGAGAAAAUGUAGGCCGGGAAACUUGGUAUAUAAGCGGCAGUCUUGGUCCGAUAUAUUCAUUCACUCGCCGAUUCCCCAACAAUAAACAACAACAUGGCUUCUAUCAAGAUGAUCGCUCUGUGGGCUUUCUUGGUUGUUCUGGUGGCAGCAGUCAGUGCCGCUCCCACAUACUUUAUCUUGGAUGAUGGCGAAGUUGAGGCCCCUCAAUUGGUGCGCGUUCGCCGUGAUGACAAGUACGUCGCCGCCGCAAGUGGUGGUGGAAGCUACGGAAAGGGACACGUUGGACCCGUUUACACCUUCGUCAAGACCGACCCCAAGGCUAACUUCAAGUGGGGAGUCCGUCACCGCGCUGGAUCUCAGUACGCCGGUUAAGCGGAAUGCUUCUUGCCGAUUCCUUUAACCCAGAAAACCCUCAAGCUGGCUCUUGAGAAACUGACGGACCCACAUCUCACGCUCCCACAUUCAUUUCAUCUGUUUUCAUCCGUUUCUGAAUCAUCGUCUGAAUCGUGAAACAUCAUCGUUGUUCCAUUUCUUUUCAAUAUGCCUGUCGUUAACUUACCCUGGUUAUCGAUAGACAUCUUUUGCGAUCGGAAUACAUUUCUAAAUUUAUCUCCAUAA
This is a long non-coding RNA of Daphnia pulex (common water flea), 640 nucleotides long. RefSeq lists it as uncharacterized. The transcript has 3 exons. Lineage: Eukaryota; Metazoa; Arthropoda; Branchiopoda; Diplostraca; Daphniidae. The record is from RefSeq and is a predicted model, not a curated record.